AGAGUUUGAUCAUGGCUCAGAUUGAACGCUGGCGGCAGGCUUAACACAUGCAAGUCGAACGGUAACAGGGAGAAAGCUUGCUUUCUUUGCUGACGAGUGGCGGACGGGUGAGUAAUGCUUGGGAAUCUGGCUUAUGGAGGGGGAUAACUACGGGAAACUGUAGCUAAUACCGCGUAAUAUCUUCGGAUUAAAGGGUGGGACCGCAAGGCCACCUGCCAUAAGAUGAGCCCAAGUGGGAUUAGGUAGUUGGUGGGGUAAAGGCCUACCAAGCCGACGAUCUCUAGCUGGUCUGAGAGGAUGGCCAGCCACACUGGAACUGAGACACGGUCCAGACUCCUACGGGAGGCAGCAGUGGGGAAUAUUGCACAAUGGGGGGAACCCUGAUGCAGCCAUGCCGCGUGAAUGAAGAAGGCCUUCGGGUUGUAAAGUUCUUUCGGUGAUGAGGAAGGUGUUUGUUUUAAUAGAACAAGCAAUUGACGUUAGUCACAGAAGAAGCACCGGCUAACUCCGUGCCAGCAGCCGCGGUAAUACGGAGGGUGCGAGCGUUAAUCGGAAUGACUGGGCGUAAAGGGCACGCAGGCGGUGACUUAAGUGAGAUGUGAAAGCCCCGGGCUUAACCUGGGAAUUGCAUUUCAUACUGGGUUGCUAGAGUAUUUUAGGGAGGGGUAGAAUUCCACGUGUAGCGGUGAAAUGCGUAGAGAUGUGGAGGAAUACCGAAGGCGAAGGCAGCCCCUUGGGAAUAUACUGACGCUCAUGUGCGAAAGCGUGGGGAGCAAACAGGAUUAGAUACCCUGGUAGUCCACGCUGUAAACGCUGUCUGAUUUGGGGAUUGGGCUUUGAGCUUGGUGCCCGUAGCUAACGUGAUAAA
Molecule: ribosomal RNA, 868 nt
Filed under: uncultured bacterium
Lineage: Bacteria
Description: bacterial SSU rRNA
Rfam family: Bacterial small subunit ribosomal RNA
Source: RNAcentral